Molecule: long non-coding RNA, 1254 nt
Organism: Wyeomyia smithii (pitcher-plant mosquito)
Lineage: Eukaryota; Metazoa; Arthropoda; Insecta; Diptera; Culicidae
Exons: 2
Source: RefSeq, a predicted model, not a curated record
UGCUGUUCGUGUCGGUUGGUUAUUUUUCACGCCAUCGCUUGUGCCAUCUCCACCGUCCGUCUGGAGAUAUAAAUAAGAACAUUUAGAAGAACAGAAAUUUCGCGCGCGUUUCAUCAAACAGUGUACCGUGUGUAUAGUGCGCGAAGGCUCUCUUGUUGUCCGUUAUCCCACACACCCUCCCACCGAUUCACUACACGGUAGUGCAGUGCCAUCACGGUUUUCGAUUGAUGUGCUCAGUGUAUCUCUUAAAAGUUGGGUAACACUUACCAGUUAAGAUUUUUAUAAUUAUUACGCAUUCAGUGUGCUAUCGAAUAAGCUUUCACAGUGUCAUACGUGAGAGCCGAAUACUAAACAAAGCUGUGAUAAACACAUAAAUAAAUUCUCUGUGGAUUUAGUUAUGGGGAGCUAAAUAGUGAAGGUGUGCGAGAGCAAACGCAAAUCGAAACGCUAUAAAGUGGUUUACAGUUCAUACAAUUAUGCAUGCAGAUUGAUAACCCGUCUUAGAGAUACUGGAAUAAUAAUAUAAUCGACGGACAGUUUUAUUGUGCAACAACAAAUUUAGUGUUCAGCAAACUAGACGAAAAUAAAACAGCGAAAUGACAUCCAGCAAGAUACAAGCCCGCCCGAAUAGGAUCCAGGCCGCAACGGCGAACAAUUCGCGGAACGGUAGUUUCGUGGCCAACAGUAAUUCCAACAACGCACUACGCAAUGUAGGCAGGCUGAAUAGAAAUCUGUUCGGUCGACCGGAUCCCGCCGAGACAACCAGGUUGGAAAAUGAAGCUCAACAGGAGACCCAGCAACGGUGGCUGAACAAAUAUAACACUGACAUCGUCAAAGAAUCGAUUUCAUAUCUUUCGUCCUCAACGUCACGCAGUAGUCCCAACAGUUAGUUUUUCCAGUCAAACGAGGGCACCAACAAAUGGCUGUGCAAAAAUGAUCCUAAGAGAUCUUACGCGAAAAAAAAUUCUUAUAGAUUCGACCCACAUCCCUGGACGGACAGGACUGACGAACUAAAGCAUAUCUGUGGUCCAUUUAGUUCCAUCGUUUCGCUGCUACAUAUACCCGCUUUCGGUUUCUCGAUUUGUGUUUUCCAUCCGCCAUUGGAGCGAGAAAGAAACGAAUAGGAAGUUCUUGUGUUGUUAUAUUGAUAAAUUUAGCAAAUUUUGUUAAAUAAGAACUAAAUUUGCUUUGUUUCUUUAGGUAGUAUUUAAGUAAAAUAGGAUAAUCGUUAAAGUUUUUUUUUCGUCUUCUAAA